GACGAAGAACGUAGCGAAAUGCGAAAAGUAAUGUGAAUUGCAGAAUUCAGUGAACCAUCGAAUCUUUGAACGCACAUUGCGCCCGCUGGAACUCCGGCGGGCACGCCUGUCCGAGCGUCAUUUCAACCCUCAGGCCCCCCUUCGCGGGCGGGCCUGGUGUUGGGGCCCGGCCGCUACCCUGCGGCCGUCCCCUAAAUUCAGUGGCGGCCUCGCCGUGAUCCCUUGCGUAGUAAUGCACCUCGCACCGGAGAGCGCCGUGGCCACGCCGUAAAACCCCCAAUUUUCAAUGGUUGACCUCGGAUCAGGUGGGAAUACCCGCUGAACUUAAGCAUAUCAAUAAGCGGAGGA
This 348-nucleotide unclassified non-coding RNA is filed under the name soil metagenome. RNAcentral describes it as "partial contains 5.8S ribosomal RNA, internal transcribed spacer 2, and large subunit ribosomal RNA". The stretch from base 1 to 120 matches the Rfam family "5.8S ribosomal RNA", at positions 35 to 154 of the family's 154-position model. The record is from RNAcentral.